Molecule: long non-coding RNA, 1897 nt
Filed under: Cricetulus griseus (Chinese hamster)
Lineage: Eukaryota; Metazoa; Chordata; Mammalia; Rodentia; Cricetidae
Description: lncRNA (ENSCGRG00015041235.1)
Source: RNAcentral
AUGGGAGUUGGAAAAAGAGUUCCGUUUCAUGAGUUGGUGUGCCUCUCCAUGUUUAAUUUGUAUGAUACACUCUUGGGUGGAGAGAGGCUGAGCCUAAACUCUCUGGCUCUCCUGCUGACCUGAGGCUGUGAUAACGUGUGUUUGUAAAAUUCCAAACGCCACUCUCCCUAUGGCCUUGCACGUGCUCUCCCUGUGCAAGGUGGAGGCUCGAACUCGGAAAGGACUCUACUAGCGAGAGAGCAAGAGAUCCUUCUGUGCUCUCUUAGCAGGCUGGCUCCCGAGAGCACUGGUUGUUAAGAGUCUGCAAGUGUGUAGAACUUCCCUGUUGAAGGCAAAAUGUUCAUUAGAGUUUUUCUUCCAGACAUGGGUAGGAAGCUGAUAGUUUUAUUUUCUUGCCUGGAUUACCAAAGCGAGAUAUUUGAGUUUUGACUUCACAAGCUAAGACAUCACAGUGGGUUCUCUUUAUGAAUGUGAAAAAAAAAACUUAUUUUGUACAGACAGCUUUCCUUUUUGUAACUAAUCCUUUUUACUGGUAAAUAUUGUAAAUUAAAAUGUGCAACUUGAAGGCUGUCUAUGUUAUGUUUCCGUACCUCUGCUGUGCUGUGUUAUAUGAUGUAAUUUAUGUGACUGUCUUCACUGGAUCAGUUUUAUGUGAUCUCCAGUAGUUUUUGAUUAGCAGGACACAGCAAGCCUUUUUGUAUAUGAUUGUUGUUCAUAUAUUAGAAAAUGUCAGAAUUCCUGGAAGAAUUAGUACUGAGUUUUCCUUUGUGUGUGUGUGUGUGUGUGUGUGUGUGUGUGUGAGAGAGAGAGAGAGAGAGAGAGAGAGAGAGAGAGAGAGAGAGAGAGAGAGAGAGAAGAGAGAGAGACAGAAGAGAGAGAGAAUAUGAGAGUGUGUAUGUGUGUGUGUAAGAGAAAGUAUGUCUGUGUGUGAGAGAGUGUGAGUGUGUUUAAGAAAGGGUGCCUGAGUGAACUUGUAAGAAAGAGUGUGUGAGUCAGCCGGACAUUGGUGGCACACGCCUUUAGUCCCAGCACUCGGGAGGCAGAGGCAGGCGGAUCUCUGUGAGUUCGAAGCCAGCCUGGUCUCCAGAGUGAGUGCCAGGAAAGGCUCCAAAGCUACACAGAGAAACCCUGUCUCGAAAAACCAAAAAAAAAGAAAAAAGAAAAAAGAGUGUGUGUGUGUGUGUGUGUGUGUGUGUGUGUGUGUGUGUGUGUGUAUGUAUGUAUGUAUGUAUGUAUGUAUGUAUGUAUGUAUUGAUUGGGUCUUGGUAUAUACCCCAGACUGUAAACUUGGCCUUCCAAGUUCUGAAAUUAGAUAUAUACCACCACCUCUAGCUUGGGUUUUUAUUUAAUGAAGCAGGAUGCUUCCAGAUUUUAGGUUUUCACCCAGGGGUGUGAGUGUUGGAACUCUGGAAUUAUACAAACCUUUCUUUAAUAUAAGAACUGCAGACUAGAACACAUAUGCUUAGUUUUUCAUCUUAAUGGUGAGCAGUUUGAGUAUGGCUUCCUGGCCUUGCGAUGCAUUUAUUCCAAGAUAGAGCAACACAAGGAAGCAGAGCUGUGCACCUCCUUUCUCCUAGAGAAAUAAUGGAACAAGAAGAAGGAAAGACCCUAUUUAUUUGUGAAGACAGGACAUUGCCAGUCUUGUGAUGUUCUGCUACAUUUGAACAGUGCUAAUAGGCAAUGUUGCAGUUGCCAGCAUCUUCCUUGCCGGCGGUGUAAGGUCCACGCUGUUUGACAUUUUCAGUAGUAACAAUACUGAAUAAUGAAGCUUGUUAACCCUUGGGAAAAGGUGUCCAUUUAGCCCUCGCCGCCAGUCACCCUGGAAGAUGUCGUCUUUGGCCCUGGGUUGCUGGGGAUACCAGGCUCGGAGGCAGCCAGUGACCUUGCUGAACCCAAG